GACGAACGCUGGCGGCGUGCUUAACACAUGCAAGUCGAACGGGAUUUAGUAAACGGAGGCCUCGGUGGAAGAUUACUAAUGAGAGUGGCGAACGGGUGAGUAACGCGUGAGCAACCUGCCUAUGACAGUGGGAUAGCCUCGGGAAACCGGGAUUAAUACCGCAUAAAAUCGUAGAAACACAUGUUUCAACGGUCAAAGAUUUAUCGGUCAUAGAUGGGCUCGCGUCUGAUUAGCUAGUUGGUGAGAUAACAGCCCACCAAGGCGACGAUCAGUAGCCGGUGUGAGAGGGUGGACGGCCACAUUGGAACUCAGACACGGUCCAAACUCCCACGGGGGGCGGCAGUGGGGAAUAUUGCACAAAGGGGGAAACACUCAAGCCGCGCCGCCGCGGGAAAAAAAAAGGUUUUCGUAUAGAAAAGUGCUGGCCUAUGGGGAGAUAAUGAGAAUCCCAUAGAAAAAAACUCCCGAUAAAUACG
This 476-nucleotide ribosomal RNA is filed under the name uncultured bacterium. RNAcentral's name for it is "partial 16S ribosomal RNA". It matches the Rfam family "Bacterial small subunit ribosomal RNA", at positions 28 to 505 of the family's 1533-position model. The record is from RNAcentral.